Molecule: long non-coding RNA, 645 nt
Filed under: Jatropha curcas
Lineage: Eukaryota; Viridiplantae; Streptophyta; Magnoliopsida; Malpighiales; Euphorbiaceae
Description: long non-coding RNA (JCUR_LNC002322)
Source: RNAcentral
ACUGCAUUUGCAUAACAUUACAUUUUUAUAUAUUUACAUAUUGUAUUUUCUCAUAUAUAUUAUGUUAUGAUCACUAUAAUUAUACUUAUGCAUAAUUGUACAUUUGGAUGAAAUUGGUGUAUUACGAUAAAUGAAUUGUUUGAUUAUUUGAGUUGUGUAUAUACUGUGCUCUGUUUGUGUGGAGUUGGGAUGAAGUGGGUCACCAUGGGUUUGUGAGGACGGUCGAUAAAUAUGGAUCCUGAUGAACUGAUGAAAAUGGACCGUCGGCCGGGUAAAUGGGAGAUCAGCUCCCCGUGUGCACCUGAUGAACUGAUGAAAUGAUGUUGAUGAUAUGGAAAAGAAAAGAGAGAAUGUAAAAAUAAAAUAUUGAGAGGACUGGUCAAGUGAGGAUUAGACCGGUCGGCCAGAUAUGGGGGAUUGGCUCCCCGGGUGCACAUGUUUGAGAGGAUGGGCUGUUUGAGAGGACGGCUCGUCGGGGAUUUAGGUGACGCCACUGACUAAUUUCCACGUGAUGUGAUUAUUUGAAGGUGAUAUUGUUUGUGGGUGCUGAUGUAAUGUCAUAUGAUUGACUGUUGUGUGUUCAUUCAGUAUACUAGGGUGCAUUUGCUUGACUGUAUGUGGUGUGCAUUAUUUAUUAUUAUUCAC